RNAcentral lists this long non-coding RNA (617 nucleotides) under Triticum aestivum (bread wheat). RNAcentral describes it as "long non-coding RNA (TAES_LNC023464)". The record is from RNAcentral. Lineage: Eukaryota; Viridiplantae; Streptophyta; Magnoliopsida; Poales; Poaceae.
CCAAAGAAAAGGAUGAUUUGUUGGCUUGAUGAGUGGACGUGGGAGGUGAUCAUCUCCCCUGCUUUUCAACCAUACAGACCCGAUGCUUGCUUGCUUGAGUAGUAUCUGCUGGAAGGUUGUCUUCUUCGGCGGGCGGUAGACGGCGGCGGUUAACUGGCUUCAACACAUUUCAGAAUAGGCUGCCAAGGAGGGUGAUGAAUUGACUUACAACCAGUCUGUCGAAUAUCUGAAGCGUCUUCUGAAGAAAUCGACGCUUGUCAUGUUGCUAACUGAAGAAAUCGACACUUGUCAUGUCGCUAACUGAAGAAAAUCGACACUUGUCAUGUUGUUAACUGAAGAAAUCGACACCCAGUUGUUCAUGCCAAAUUGAGCUCAUGUUCCUCUACUUGGGGUAAACCCUAGCAGCCAUGUCCUGGCUAUCCUUAAUUCGCUAUGUUUCUCUCGUGAUCAUCCUGUGAAUUCACUUACUUGGUCUUUGCAGAUGUGAGCAUGGAACGGAGGCACGAUAUUGAUCAUCGCCAAAUUUAGCAAUAUAGUGAAGUCCCAAGAUAUCAUCAUCACUGGAGAAGGAGGAGAAGAGCACCAUUUUUGUGCCAUCAAGCAGCUCAAGAUGCUCG